ACGGGAUCGUUUGUAUUGUAGCUAACUUAAGUAGCUGUGUUAACGUAACAUUAACGUCACCAGCCAAAGCAGUAACGCUAUAAAAUGUAACACGUUAGUCAAACGUAGAACAAACAUUAUCUAUUUAUCUAAUGUCGUGUAGGCUAUUCAUAUGGUAAUUAUUCAAUGGACGUUAUAUCACUUUGCUAGCUGGCAUAAAGAGCUAGCUAGCUAGCCUAGCUUCACAGAAGCAUAGCAAACGCGAUUAGCCAUGCGAUGUAGACGAUAAGGCUACAAUAAACAUAGUAGCUAAUAUUAUGGUUCUAACAUCGAGAAGCUUAAACACAAUACAGGUCAUCGCAAUAUAAGGUUACAUACUGUAUGUAUAAUUUAGGGACACUUUGCCAUAGGCCUAACAGUUGCAUACCUUAUUGUAACGUUCACUGAAAAAAUGCUUUUAACGUAGCCUAACGUUAGCUAACAUAGACUAACGUAUUGAACAGAACUACACCCUAGGCUAGCUAGGUAUGGAUAACUAGCAAUUAGUGGUUGCCAUAAAUGAGGGAUUCGCGGCGGAAACUGCCAACAAUACAUCAAUGAACAACAGUAUAACAAAAUAAUGCUUUUUAAACGAGCUACACAUAUAUAAUAUUAUUUUUGAAAACACUUACAGAUAUUGAUUGGGCAAGAGCUAACGGACAGUGGAUGGAGACGGUUGCCUUUUGUAGGUUUCUCUGUUGUCAUGGCAACACAUUUGACAUACUACUUCAUUCACACAUUACUCAGUCUAACAAAGAUAAACGUAAGAAAAAGUUCGUAAGUGUAGCCUAUUUCACUGGCAUUACAUUAAAUUAACCGAUAGGACGUUGCUAGAUUGCAACUACUGUACAUCGAAAUUGGUGACCACCGAAAACGUCUGUCGCUGGAGGUCGUUGUUAAGCAAUUCUAACCACUCGCUGUCGAGCAUAGACUCCACUGCUCGUCUUGCGCUGGCUCUGAAUAAGAAGAACCAUCGAGGACACGCACGGGCGGACUACGUAGGCCUACGUCGGGCUUGUGAAUUGGAUUUUCAUCCGUUAAAAUGAUGCUUCGUUUGCAUCUCAUUUUGUACAGAACAUAUUCUGUAUAUGGAAUAGGCCAUGUAAAUAGGCGACAAAAAUAAUAAUUAGGGAGUGUGGUAAAAUGACUUGUUACGUGCAUUAUCACAGCAAGGUAGCCUAAAUACUUGUUUAUACCGUGUUGUUGUGUAUCCUUGUACAUAAGUACAAUGCACGCUAUACAAUCUGUUCAUAAAAGUAUUCUUCUUUUGACAGUUUACUUGAAGAUCAUAUAUAGUUAAUGUAUGAGCACUAUAUACUAGGACUGUGGGACUGGUGGUUAGAAACUGGAACUAUGACGAAUGCAUGGCAAAAAUCAAUAAUUAUUUUCAAAAAUUGUGACUCUGCCCAUUGAAACUAGUCAAACAUGCUUUGAUGUGUACAGACGUAGGAGAAUAACAUAUCGCUUGAGAGAUUUUGGCUUGGGUGUGCCUCUUUUUCCAUGGGUACAGACAGAUCACAGAUUUUGUGAGCUGUUACAUGCCAGCUUAUUGAUGGUGACCCCUUGUCAACCUGUUGACACCAGUCAAACAUGCUUUGCUGUGUCCAAGCAUACGAUGAUGACAUCUCACCUCAGAGAUUUCUUAUGCCUAGAUAAUUGUGUUCAUAAUGGGGAUAAGAUGCUCUUAAGUGAUAUUCCUAAAAAAACAAUUUCUGCCUCAUUUGUGCUUGAGGGAAGCUGAGAAGGAGAACAUUAUGAAGGCCAUGAACUUGGAAACACUAUGGCUGGAAGUGGACAGCAAAUCUUGACCAAAUGCAAAGGUUUCUUUGUGGUCAUUGUAGCCAAAAUCCAUGGCAGAAGUCUUUGACGAGAUCCUCCGGGACCAUGCUGGAACUCGUUUCAAAAAUCAAGAUCUUUCACUGAAGGUAGAGCCCCAUGGCCAGCCCCAUUGUGGUGCCACCCACCUGUGAACCUGAGGAGGGAGAAGACCAGUCCAUUAAACUUCUCAGAAUUGUGUAAUGUGGUGCAAAUUUUGUUUUAAUUUCUGGUUUUUGAAAAGGUCAUUUAUUUUAAAUUAGACUUUUAAUUCUCUUUAAUGUCAUUUUGUUCAUUUAUGUAAUAGCAGGUGGACUCAGUAGGGCUUUUAUUUCUUAAAGUAUUGAAAACUGGUCAGUGUGAUUUAAAAAAAUGUGAAGAAUGAAGAACGGGGAUAAAAUGGUAUCUAAAAUUGGUGAAAUUUGAAUUAAUCUUAUAUCGAGAUAUAAAAAAAAAACACAC
Anguilla anguilla (European eel) is the source of this 2295-nucleotide long non-coding RNA. RefSeq lists it as uncharacterized. NCBI's taxonomy places the organism in Eukaryota, Metazoa, Chordata, Actinopteri, Anguilliformes, Anguillidae. The record is from RefSeq and is a predicted model, not a curated record. The transcript is spliced from 3 exons.